This is an RNA transcript of Gallus gallus (chicken), 1917 nucleotides long. It is a transcript of the gene named growth hormone releasing hormone receptor, with no coding region annotated. The record is from RefSeq and is marked validated. NCBI's taxonomy places the organism in Eukaryota, Metazoa, Chordata, Aves, Galliformes, Phasianidae. The transcript is spliced from 14 exons.
AGGGCUGUGACAUUCAGUCUGGCUGAGAGACGGAGCUGUGGGCAGCACGGGGACAGCGGGGGUGGGGGGCACAGGGAGAGGGUCAGGGACACUCUUAGGGACUGAGCAUCCGCUGCGGGAAAGUGGUUUAGAGGGAUCUGGGGGAAGGAUAGGGUUGGGACAGAGCAGGGAAAGGGGUGAGGGGAGCAGGGUUACUCCUGGAGCCGGGACCCCACGCCCAGGGCCAUGCAGGAGGGCCAUCCCCAGCCCCAUGGGCACUGAGCAGGGUGGCACGGGGCUGCCUCCCACCAUGGGGUGCCCAUGGCUGAACCCCAACUCCUGCGUGCUGCUGCUGCUGCUCGCGCUGCCAAUGCUGCAGGUGCGAGCGACGCAUCCCGACUGCUCCGUCAUCCUCUACUUCCAAGAGAGAGAGGAUGAGUGCCUGGAGGCCAUCAGGAGUGAGAGCCAAACUCAAUCCCCCGGUGGGCAGCGAGGCUGCCGGACAGCGUGGGAUGGGGUGAGCUGCUGGCCGGCCAUGCCUGUGGGUCAGUCCCAUGCUGUUGCCUGUCCCGAUGUCCCCCACAUCUUCAAGAAGUCCAAAGCGCUGAUCCACAGGAACUGCACUGAGGUGGGGUGGAGUCCCCCCAGCCCACCCUACUACAGUGCCUGCGAGCUGGAGGCUGUUGGGAGCAGCAACAACACCGAGGCCAAGAGAGGCUACUUCAUCACCAUGAAGGUGCUCUACACAUGUGGCUACUCCACGUCCCUGGCAGCCCUGUUCCUGGCCAUUGGAAUCUUCUCCUGCUUCAGGAAGCUGCACUGUACCAGGAACUCCAUCCACAUCCACUUCUUCACCUCCUUCAUCCUACGCGGGGCCGCUGUGCUCAUCAAGGACGCCGUCCUCUUCUCUGAUGAGUCUGUUGACCACUGCACCAUGUCGACGGUGAAGUGCAAGGCAUCCAUUGCCUUCGUGCAGUACUCGGUGUUGGCCAACUUCUACUGGCUGCUGGUGGAGGGCAUGUACCUGCAGACCCUGCUGCUGCUCACCUUCACCUCCGAUCGGAGCUACAUCUGGUGGUACAUCCUCAUCGGAUGGGGUGUCCCCAUGCUGACCGUGUGUGUGUGGGUGGUCACCAGGCUGCAGUACGAUGACCACGGGUGCUGGGAUGACUACAGCAGCCCCUACUGGUGGGUGAUCAAGGCUCCCAUCCUCCUGGCCAUAUUUGUGAACUUCCUCAUCUUCCUCAACGUCACCAGGAUGUUGGCACAGAAGAUCCGAUCCCCAGACAUCAGCAAAAACUACAAGCAGCAGUACAUGAGGCUGACCAAGUCCACACUGCUCCUCAUCCCCCUCUUUGGGGUGCACUAUGUGGUGUUUGCGUUCUUCCCUGAGCACAUCGGUGUGGACGCCCGGCUGUACUUUGAGCUGGUCCUUGGUUCCUACCAGGGGUUCUUGGUGGCUCUGCUGUACUGUUUCCUGAACGGGGAGGUCCAGUCUGAGAUCAAGAGGAACUGGGGCAAGUGGCAGUCAACCAUGGAGAGCAACGUCUUCAACAUGGCAACCCAAGACUUCACAGCAUGAUGAGGAUGGAAGUCGGGGGAUGUUCCUCCCUAAGGACAGUGGCCCUAGAACCAAAGGGGAUUUAAAUGCAUUCCCUUAUGGGAAGAUGCCAACACAACACACAGCCCCCCAGCAGCCAACCUGAGGGAGGAGAAGCCACCACUGCAGCCCAUUCUGCUCACAACCCCCCAUCUCCUGCUCUGGUUAACGCCAUCCCAGCAGACAGAAAGGUGUUGGAUGCCCCUUCCCAAACCUCUCCUGGCUUUGCUGAGCCACCUGAUCUCAGCAGAGCUUCUCAGGCUUUCCGUAUUGUAAUUUCUCCGCAUGGCCAAGUGCCCUUCCUCAAAUAAAACCCAUAGAUUGGUCUCAUCCCAGGC